RNAcentral lists this ribosomal RNA (301 nucleotides) under uncultured bacterium. Its description in RNAcentral is "partial 16S ribosomal RNA". It matches the Rfam family "Bacterial small subunit ribosomal RNA", at positions 509 to 809 of the family's 1533-position model. The record is from RNAcentral.
CAGCAGCCGCGGGAAUACGUAGGGUCCGAGCGUUGUCCGGAAUUAUUGGGCGUAAAGGGCUCGUAGGCGGUUUGUUGCGUCGGGAGUGAAAACCUACAGCUUAACUGUGGGCUUGCUUUCGAUACGGGCAGACUUGAGGCAUUCAGGGGAGAACGGAAUUCCUGGUGUAGCGGUGAAAUGCGCAGAUAUCAGGAGGAACACCGGUGGCGAAGGCGGUUCUCUGGGAAUGUUCUGACGCUGAGGAGCGAAAGUGUGGGGAGCGAACAGGAUUAGAUACCCCAGUAGUCCCUGUCUCUUAUAA